AUUGCUUCUCGGCCUUUUGGCUGAGAUCAAGUGAAGAAUCUCAUGGUUUGCCUCCCUCUAUGUUUUUAUCUUAUUUUCCCUUCCCUUCCCCUGUGUUCAUCCGUUGUGUUUCUUUAAUUCCAUAUAUGGGUGAAAUCAUA
RNAcentral lists this small nuclear RNA (140 nucleotides) under Lynx canadensis (Canada lynx). Its description in RNAcentral is "U2 spliceosomal RNA (ENSLCNG00005001642.1)". It matches the Rfam family "U2 spliceosomal RNA". Rfam says of the family: U2 is a small nuclear RNA (snRNA) component of the spliceosome (involved in pre-mRNA splicing). Complementary binding between U2 snRNA (in an area lying towards the 5' end but 3' to hairpin I) and the branchpoint sequence (BPS) of the intron results the bulging out of an unpaired adenosine, on the BPS, which initiates a nucleophilic attack at the intronic 5' splice site, thus starting the first of two transesterification reactions that mediate splicing. Lineage: Eukaryota; Metazoa; Chordata; Mammalia; Carnivora; Felidae. The record is from Rfam by way of RNAcentral.